CACGUAGGGCGCGAGCGUUGUCCGGAAUUAUUGGGCGUAAAGAGCUCGUAGGCGGCCUGUUGCGUCCGCUGUGAAAGCCCGGGGCUUAACCCCGGGUCUGCAGUGGAUACGGGCAGGCUAGAGGUAGGUAGGGGAGAAUGGAAUUCCCGGUGUAGUGGUGGAAUGCGUAGAUAUCGGGAGGAACACCAGUGGCGAAGGCGGUUGCCUGGGGCUUUGCUGACGCUGAUGCGCGAAAGCGUGGGGAGCGAUCCGG
RNAcentral lists this ribosomal RNA (253 nucleotides) under uncultured bacterium. Its description in RNAcentral is "partial 16S ribosomal RNA". It matches the Rfam family "Bacterial small subunit ribosomal RNA", at positions 524 to 776 of the family's 1533-position model. The record is from RNAcentral.